GGUGGCUCAGUGGUAGAGCGCUUGCCUUGUAUGCAUGAGGCCCUGGGUUCAAUUCCACAGGACCA
RNAcentral lists this transfer RNA (65 nucleotides) under Dipodomys ordii (Ord's kangaroo rat). It matches the Rfam family "tRNA". From Rfam's summary of the family: Transfer RNA (tRNA) molecules are approximately 80 nucleotides in length. Lineage: Eukaryota; Metazoa; Chordata; Mammalia; Rodentia; Heteromyidae. The record is from Rfam by way of RNAcentral.